Homo sapiens (human) is the source of this 66-nucleotide non-coding RNA. The record is from the annotation of a RefSeq genome assembly. Lineage: Eukaryota; Metazoa; Chordata; Mammalia; Primates; Hominidae.
AGAAUAGUGGAGGUAGCAACUAUAAACUGACAUUUGGAAAAGGAACUCUCUUAACCGUGAAUCCAA